AAUCCUACGGGGGGCAGCAGUAGGGAAUCUUCCACAAUGGACGAAAGUCUGAUGGAGCAACGCCGCGUGAGUGAAGAAGGGUUUCGGCUCGUAAAGCUCUGUUGGUAGGGAAGAAAGAUAGAGGGAGUAACUGGCCUUUAUUUGACGGUAAUUACUUAGAAAGUCACGGCUAACUACGUGCCAGCAGCCGCGGUAAAACGUAGGUGGCAAGCGUUGUCCGGCUUUAUUGGGCGUAAAGCGAGUGCAGGCGGGUUCA
RNAcentral lists this ribosomal RNA (256 nucleotides) under uncultured bacterium. RNAcentral's name for it is "partial 16S ribosomal RNA". It matches the Rfam family "Bacterial small subunit ribosomal RNA", at positions 335 to 583 of the family's 1533-position model. The record is from RNAcentral.